This 457-nucleotide ribosomal RNA is filed under the name uncultured bacterium. Its description in RNAcentral is "partial 16S ribosomal RNA". It matches the Rfam family "Bacterial small subunit ribosomal RNA", at positions 28 to 523 of the family's 1533-position model. The record is from RNAcentral.
GAUGAACGCUGGCGGCGUGCCUAAUACAUGCAAGUCGAGCGGUAAGGCCCUUCGGGGUACACGAGCGGCGGACGGGUGAGUAACGCGUAAGAAUCUACCCCAAACUGAGGGAUAAGCACCAGAAAUGGUGUCUAAUACCGCAUGUGCUCUACGGAGUAAAGCUACGGCGGUUUGGGAAGAGCUUGCGGAUGAUUAGCUAGUUGGUAAGGUAAUGGCUUACCAAGGCGACGAUCAUUAGCUGGUCUGAGAGGAUGAUCAGCCACACUGGGGCUGAGACACGGCCCAGACUUCUACGGGAGGCAGCAGUAGGGAAUUUUCCACAAUGGGGGCAACCCUGGUGGAGCAACGCCGCGUGCAGGAUGAAGGCCUUCGGGUUGUAAACUGCUUUUGUCUGUGACGAAUAUGACGGUAGCAGACGAAUAAGGAUCGGCUAACUACGUGCCAGCAGCCGCGGUAA